UAAGCGGAGGAAAAGAAACUAACAAGGAUUCCCCUAGUAACGGCGAGUGAAGCGGGAAGAGCUCAAAUUUGUAAUCUGGCACUUUCAGUGUCCGAGUUGUAAUCUCGAGAAGUGUUUUCCGCGCCGGACCGCAUACAAGUCUGUUGGAAUACAGCGUCAUAGUGGUGAGAACCCCGUAACUGAUGCGGAUGCCCGGUGCUUUGUGAUACACUUUCGAAGAGUCGAGUUGUUUGGGAAUGCAGCUCAAAUUGGGUGGUAAAUUCCAUCUAAAGCUAAAUAUUGGCGAGAGACCGAUAGCGAACAAGUACCGUGAGGGAAAGAUGAAAAGCACUUUGGAAAGAGAGUUAACAGUACGUGAAAUUGUUGGAAGGGAAACGAUUGAAGUCAGACUUGUUAUCUGGAGUUCAGCCUUUCGGUGUACUCUCCAGUUUACAGGCCAGCAUCAGUUUUCGGGGCGGGAAAAUCGUAAUUAGAAGGUAGCAGCCUAGCUGUGUUAUAGCUCUUUACUGGAUUCCGCUUUGGGGACUGAGGAACGCAGUGUGCUUUUAGCAAUACCCUCGGGUAUUUCACACUUAGGAUGCUGGUGGAAUGGCUUUAAACGACCCGUCUUG
This 611-nucleotide ribosomal RNA is filed under the name Curvibasidium nothofagi. RNAcentral's name for it is "eukaryotic LSU rRNA". It matches the Rfam family "Eukaryotic large subunit ribosomal RNA", at positions 47 to 656 of the family's 3401-position model. The record is from RNAcentral. Lineage: Eukaryota; Fungi; Basidiomycota; Microbotryomycetes.